RNAcentral lists this ribosomal RNA (360 nucleotides) under uncultured archaeon. Its description in RNAcentral is "partial 16S ribosomal RNA". It matches the Rfam family "Archaeal small subunit ribosomal RNA", at positions 330 to 692 of the family's 1478-position model. The record is from RNAcentral.
GUGCAGCAGGCGCGAAAACUCCGCAAUGCGCGAAAGCGUGACGGGGCCACCCCGAGUGCCGUCCGCUGAGGAUGGCUUUUGCCUGGUCUAACCAGCCGGGUGAAUAAGGGGAGGGCAAGUCUGGUGUCAGCCGCCGCGGUAAUACCAGCUCCCCGAGUGGUUGGGACGAUUAUUGGGUCUGAAGCGUCCGUAGCCGGCCGGAAAAGUUCCCCGUUAAAUCUGGCGAUCCAAUCGUUGGGCUGCGGGGAAUACUCGUCGGGUUGGGGGCGAGGGAGGUCGGCGGUAGUCCCGGGGUAGGGGCGAAAUCCUAUAAACCCGGGAAGACCACCAGUGGCGAAGGCUGUUGGCUAGAACACGCCC